CGGGAAGUAGCUCAGCUUGGUAGAGCACUUGGUUUGGGACCAAGGGGUCGCAGGUUCGAAUCCUGUCUUCCCGAU
RNAcentral lists this transfer RNA (75 nucleotides) under Streptococcus thermophilus. RNAcentral describes it as "tRNA-Pro". It matches the Rfam family "tRNA". From Rfam's summary of the family: Transfer RNA (tRNA) molecules are approximately 80 nucleotides in length. Their secondary structure includes four short double-helical elements and three loops (D, anti-codon, and T loops). Further hydrogen bonds mediate the characteristic L-shaped molecular structure. tRNAs have two regions of fundamental functional importance: the anti-codon, which is responsible for specific mRNA codon recognition, and the 3' end, to which the tRNAs corresponding amino acid is attached (by aminoacyl-tRNA synthetases). tRNAs cope with the degeneracy of the genetic code in two manners: having more than one tRNA (with a specific anti-codon) for a particular amino acid; and 'wobble' base-pairing, i.e. permitting non-standard base-pairing at the 3rd anti-codon position. The record is from RNAcentral. Lineage: Bacteria; Bacillati; Bacillota; Bacilli; Lactobacillales; Streptococcaceae. RNAcentral also lists the same sequence under 5 other names.